UCGAUACAUCACACUUUGUGUGGAGAAACCAAUAUAAAACUAUGGGGGGCCAUGGCCCCACCACUUCCCAAUAAUCUAUUAUCCGAUACUAAAAAAAUAACCUCUCAACAUUUAUUUAGUAUUAUCGACCCCCUCUAAAAAAUAUUUGUGUGUAAUUGACCCUUAGAAUACAAUGUCUAGGUUACGCAGCUAUAACAAAUCCACAUAUAUUCCCUACCAAAAUAUCCGCAAUUUGAAUUACUAAUGAGAGUUUAAACGAGAAGCCGACCGACACAGGUCCGCUAAACAAGACUCUUAUAAAUAAGUUGUCUUUUUCUAGGCCAUGCAGAGAUCGUCGACGAGGCGAAAUAGACGAUACAAGAUUGUGUCGCCAAGUUCAUUAGAUUCUCCUCUCGCUGCUUGCCGCUCACCUGGAUCGGCUGUCACCAUCACCACCUCCAGCGCUGCUGUCGAUUCAUUUAAGCAAGCUAGACAAAACGCACAAAACAAGUACAAAAUGAGUAAAUUAAAUAGGUCAUCUAUACUUAUUUGUAUUCUUUUGUUGUUUGCAAGUGAUUGAGUGUAGUAAAAAAAAUAUGAGGUUCUCUUGCUUUUUACAUAAUUUGUUGACUAUGGAACGAAAAGGCCAACUUUAUUACUAAUACCAAAACAAAUUGUAGAAUAUAUAUAUUUUCUUAGUCAUUAACAGAAAACCGACAUACAUAUUAGUGGAUUCUAAUUGUAAACAUCAGUGAUGCAUUGGAAUUUUGUAAUACAUAAUUUGUUUAAUG
This 770-nucleotide long non-coding RNA is filed under the name Erythranthe guttata (spotted monkey flower). RNAcentral's name for it is "long non-coding RNA (EGUT_LNC003867)". The record is from RNAcentral. Lineage: Eukaryota; Viridiplantae; Streptophyta; Magnoliopsida; Lamiales; Phrymaceae.